UACGUAGGGUGCGAGCGUUGUCCGGAAUUAUUGGGCGUAAAGGGCGCGUAGGCGGUGCGGUAAGUCACCUGUGAAACCUCUAGGCUUAACCUAGAGCCUGCAGGCGAAACUGCCGUGCUGGAGUGUGGGAGAGGUGCGUGGAAUUCCCGGUGUAGCGGUGAAAUGCGUAGAUAUCGUAAGGAAGACCAGUGGCGAAGGCGGGUCACUGGACAGUUCCUGACGCUGAGGCACGAAGGUCAGGGGAGCAAACGGG
Molecule: ribosomal RNA, 253 nt
Filed under: uncultured prokaryote
Description: partial 16S ribosomal RNA
Rfam family: Bacterial small subunit ribosomal RNA
Source: RNAcentral